Molecule: transfer RNA, 72 nt
Filed under: Chelydra serpentina (North American snapping turtle)
Lineage: Eukaryota; Metazoa; Chordata; Testudines; Chelydridae
Description: tRNA-Glu
Rfam family: tRNA
About the family: Transfer RNA (tRNA) molecules are approximately 80 nucleotides in length. Their secondary structure includes four short double-helical elements and three loops (D, anti-codon, and T loops).
Source: RNAcentral
UCCCUGGUGGUCUAGUGGUUAGGAUUUGGCACUCUCACUGCCAUGGUCUGGGUUCAAUUCCCAGUCAGGGAA